AAUAAGCGGAGGAAAAGAAACCAACAGGGAUUGCUCUAGUAACGGCGAGUGAAGCAGCAAUAGCUCAAAUUUGAAAUCUGGCGUCUUCGGCGUCCGAGUUGUAAUUUGUAGAGGAUGCUUCUGAGUAACCACCGACCUAAGUUCCUUGGAACAGGACGUCAUAGAGGGUGAGAAUCCCGUAUGCGGUCGGAAAGGUGCUCUAUACGUAGCUCCUUCGACGAGUCGAGUUGUUUGGGAAUGCAGCUCUAAAUGGGAGGUAAAUUUCUUCUAAAGCUAAAUAUUGGCCAGAGACCGAUAGCGCACAAGUAGAGUGAUCGAAAGAUGAAAAGCACUUUGGAAAGAGAGUUAAAAAGCACGUGAAAUUGUUAAAAGGGAAGGGAUUGCAACCAGACUUGCUCGCGGUGUUCCGCCGGUCUUCUGACCGGUCUACUCGCCGCGUUGCAGGCCAGCAUCGUCUGGUGCCGCUGGAUAAGACUUGAGGAAUGUAGCUCCCUCGGGAGUGUUAUAGCCUCUUGUGAUGCAGCGAGCGCCGGGCGAGGUCCGCGCUUCGGCUAGGAUGCUGGCGUAAUGGUCGUAAUCCGCCCGUCUUGAAACACGGACCAAGGAGUCUAACAUCUAUGCGAGUGUUCGGGUGUCAAACCCCUACGCGUAAUGAAAGUGAACGGAGGUGAGAACCGCAAGGUGCAUCAUCGACCGAUCCUGAUGUCUUCGGAUGGAUUUGAGUAAGAGCAUAGCUGUUGGGACCCGAAAGAUGGUGAACUAUGCCUGAAUAGGGUGAAGCCAGAGGAAACUCUGGUGGAGGCUCGCAGCGGUUCUGACGUGCAAAUCGAUCGUCAAAUUUGGGUAUAGGGGCGAAAGACUAAUCGAACCAUCUAGUAGCUGGUUCCUGCGAA
RNAcentral lists this ribosomal RNA (893 nucleotides) under Cladosporium subuliforme. RNAcentral's name for it is "LSU rRNA". It matches the Rfam family "Eukaryotic large subunit ribosomal RNA", at positions 45 to 964 of the family's 3401-position model. Lineage: Eukaryota; Fungi; Ascomycota; Dothideomycetes; Cladosporiales; Cladosporiaceae. The record is from RNAcentral.